RNAcentral lists this unclassified non-coding RNA (279 nucleotides) under Hevea brasiliensis (rubber tree). Lineage: Eukaryota; Viridiplantae; Streptophyta; Magnoliopsida; Malpighiales; Euphorbiaceae. The record is from RNAcentral.
AAAGCACUGUGGUGGGUAGUAUUAUACCACCAUUCUGCUAGAGACAAACACUUCCACCAAGAAAGUGGCUGUUGAAAACAUAAACACCUCAAGUACCCCUCCACACUUCAAGUACCCCUCCAAACUUUGAUUCAACCUUUCUGACUGCCCAUCAGAUUGGGGGUGGUAAGCUAAACUAAAGGCUAGUUGAGUACUUGUCAUUUUAAAAAGUUCCUUCCAAAAGAGACUAGUGAACACAUUGUCUUUAUCAUCAAUUAUAAGCACAGGACAGCCUUGGAG